AAGAGCUGUGGAGACUCGGCCUCGGGGUUGCUGGGAGGCUGGCGCUCGCGAGACGGUGACGUCUUCGUCGAGUGCGGUGCUUGGGCUUUUGGUGGACUGACCGGUAGUCGGACGAUCUUUAGGCUCACCAUGGAUGAAGCUGUGCCAGGCCCCGCACCUGAAGGUGCAGACAGCCGUGUGACAGUGAAGGAGGAGGACUCCCCCUGGGAGCAGGUGUGCAGCUCUUGGGAAAGCAGCUGCCACGCCCAGGAGCUGUGCCGCCUGCGCUUCCGGCAGUUCUCCUACCGGGAUGUGACUGGGCCCCGCCAGGCUCUGGCCCAACUCCACGAACUCUGCCGCCAGUGGCUGCGGCCCGAGACCCACAGCAAGGAGCAGAUCCUGGAGCUGCUGGUGCUGGAGCAGUUCCUGACUGUCCUGCCCGCGGAGCUCCAGGCCUGGGUGCAGGAGCACCAUCCGGAGAGCGGGGACGAGGUGGUGACGGCGCUGGAGGAUCUGGAGAAAGACACAGGACAGCAGGCUUCUGUCUAUACUCGGGGACAGGACAUGCACUCGCUGGUGACAGAGUAUCAGGGAGCCUCUUCAGAAUGUCAGAGCCUCCAGCUCCUGCCCAGGGUAACUGCCUUGAAGUGUGAACCUCCAGAGCUCUGCCAAGAGAACCCCGGAGAAGUGAGUGCGGAAGAAGCUGUAAGUAAAGAUGGAUUGUUUAAUGCAAAGCAAGAAACUUUUGAAGAGAUACAGCAAGGUGCUGAGGCCUCAGGAGCACCCAACAGAGAUUGUAUGCUCCAGCCACCUGGUACCUCAAUCUGUACUGACAGGACAGUUGUACAUAUGAACACCCUGAAGGACCGUCACCCAGGUGACUUGUGGGCCCGAAUGCACAUCUCCUCCUUGGAAUAUGCUGCAGGAGACAUUACCCGAAAAGGGAGAAAAAAGGACAAAGCUCGAGUGAGUGAACUGCUCCAAGGCCUUGCAUUUUCUGGUGACUCAGAUGUAGAAGAAGAGAACAAGCCUGAGGCCCACCCUGCUCCAAAAAGGCUAAAGAUAUCAAACGUCCCAGAGAAGAAUUGGACCAAAAGAGAUCUUAAACCCAACUUUCCAAGCUGGUCAGCACUGGAUUCUGGACUUUUGAAUCUCAAAAGUGAAAAGUUGAACCCAGUAGAACUCUUUGAAUUAUUUUUUGAUGACGAAACAUUCAGCUUGAUUGUCAAUGAAACCAAUAAUUAUGCAUCUCAGAAAAAUGUCAACUUGGAAGUCACAGUUCAGGAAAUAAGGUGUCUGUUUGGGAUCUUGCUUUUGAGUGGAUUUGUGAGGCGUCCCAGAAGGGGAAUGUAUUGGGAAAUCUCGGAUACCGAUCAGAACCUAGUCAAGGAUGCAAUUAGAAGGGACAGAUUUGAAUUGAUUUUCUCAUACCUACAUUUUGCAGAUAACAACCACCUAGAUCAAAAAGAUAAGUUUACAAAGUUGAGGCCUCUCAUAAAGCAAAUGAAUAGAAAUUUCCUCCUCUAUGCUCCCCUUGAAGAACACUAUUAUUUUGAUAAGACAAUGUGUGAAUGCUUUGAUAGUGACCAAUUCCUGAAUGGGAAACCUAUUAGAAUUGGCUAUAAAAUUUGGUGUGGCACAACCACACAGGGUUAUCUGGUUUGGUUUGAGCCCCAUCAAGAAGAAUCAUCUGUGAUGGUGGAUAAGGAUCUUAACCUUGGUUUAGGUGGAAAUCUAGUGAUGCAUUUUGCUGAUGUCCUUUUAGAGAGAGGCCAAUAUCCCUAUCACCUGUGUUUUGAUAGCUUCUUUACAAGUGUCAAAUUGGUUUCAGCCUUGAAGAAGAAAGGCGUGAGGGCAACAGGAACAAUUCGUGAGAACAGGACUGAAAAAUGUCCCCUUAUGAAUGUAGAACAUAUGAAAAAAAUGAAGAAGGGGUAUUUCGAUUUCCAAGUCGAAGAAAAGGAGGAGAUAAUUUUGUGUCGUUGGCAUGGAGAUGGCAUCAUCAGUCUGUGCUCCAAUGCCGUAGGCAUAGAACCGGCCAGUGAGCUAAGUUGUUGUGCCGAUGAUGAGGAGAUCCAUCAGAUAGCUCAACCGUCUAUAGUGAAAUUGUAUGAUGAAUGCAAGGAAGGUGUAGCUAAAAUGGAUGAAAUCAUUUCCAAAUACAGGGUGAGAAUAAGAAGCAAAAAAUGGUACUCAAUUUUAGUGAGCUACAUAAUUGAUGUAGCCAUGAACAAUGCAUGGCAGCUACACAGAGCCUGUAACCCAGAUACCUCUCUAGACCUCUUGGAUUUUCGGAGAUAUGUUGCACAUUUCUACUUGGAGAACAAUGCUAAUCUAUCAGAUUAAGGCAGAUAAAAUGCGCAUAAUGCUAGUAUUAACAAGAUAAAAUCACAGGUAUAUAUCAGAUUGUACCCUUCCAAAGCAAACCUGAUGUAAAGUUUCAAAGAAGUAAUUUAAAAAAUUGUAUUGACUGAGUGCUACACCUUUUUCUAUGACUAAUUUUGGUGUGAAACAUGUGGGAAAUAACUUGGAUUAAUUUGUGCAUUGAAAGAAGGAAAUUGUGUCUCUUUAA
This is an RNA transcript of Herpailurus yagouaroundi (jaguarundi), 2551 nucleotides long. It is a transcript of the gene named piggyBac transposable element-derived protein 1-like, with no coding region annotated. NCBI's taxonomy places the organism in Eukaryota, Metazoa, Chordata, Mammalia, Carnivora, Felidae. The record is from RefSeq and is a predicted model, not a curated record. The transcript is spliced from 6 exons.